ACUGCGUAGCCACCGCCUCCCUCUCUUGCUCAACCACAGACAGACGGUACCACCGCCGCUCUUCCCACGCCGGCAAUCUCCGCCUUCAUGCGCUUCCUCCAAACACUGCUUCCUCCGCCAAUCUCCGCAUACUGCUUCCUCUGGCCCUAAUCACUUUCUUUUAAGUAUCAUUCGGUGACCAGAUGGAGCCCUAAUUGCAUGUGUUAACUGGAAUUUUUUGGGAGCCCAACCAAGGGUACGACGAAUUAGAGACAAUGGCUAGCAAACGGAAUCCAAUACACGUGGCCAAUGGAGAAGAAUAUUCACGGGUAUGAGCCUGCACAUGUGGGCAAUGGCUAUUUCGGGAAAACAAGAU
Long non-coding RNA from Rhododendron vialii, 355 nucleotides. RefSeq lists it as uncharacterized. The transcript is spliced from 3 exons. Lineage: Eukaryota; Viridiplantae; Streptophyta; Magnoliopsida; Ericales; Ericaceae. The record is from RefSeq and is a predicted model, not a curated record.